AUUGAACGCUGGCGGCAGGCCUAACACAUGCAAGUCGAGCGGAUGAAGGGAGCUUGCUCCUGGAUUCAGCGGCGGACGGGUGAGUAAUGCCUGGGAAUCUGCCUGGUAGUGGGGGAUAACGUCCGGAAACGGGCGCUAAUACCGCAUACGUCCUGAGGGAGAAAGUGGGGGAUCUUCGGACCUCACGCUAUCAGAUGAGCCUAGGUCGGAUUAGCUAGUUGGUGGGGUAAAGGCCUACCAAGGCGACGAUCCGUAACUGGUCUGAGAGGAUGAUCAGUCACACUGGAACUGAGACACGGUCCAGGCUCCUACGGGAGGCAGCAGUGGGGAAUAUUGGACAAUGGGCGAAAGCCUGAUCCAGCCAUGCCGCGUGUGUGAAGAAGGUCUUCGGAUUGUAAAGCACUUUAAGUUGGGAGGAAGGGCAGUAAGUUAAUACCUUGCUGUUUUGACGUUACCAACAGAAUAAGCACCGGCUAACUUCGUG
This 484-nucleotide ribosomal RNA is filed under the name uncultured bacterium. RNAcentral's name for it is "partial 16S ribosomal RNA". It matches the Rfam family "Bacterial small subunit ribosomal RNA", at positions 30 to 507 of the family's 1533-position model. The record is from RNAcentral.